RNAcentral lists this ribosomal RNA (253 nucleotides) under uncultured bacterium. Its description in RNAcentral is "partial 16S ribosomal RNA". It matches the Rfam family "Bacterial small subunit ribosomal RNA", at positions 524 to 776 of the family's 1533-position model. The record is from RNAcentral.
UACAGAGGGGGCAAGCGUUGUUCGGAAUUACUGGGCGUAAAGGGCGCGUAGGCGGCCUUCUAAGUCGAACGUGAAAUCCCCGGGCUCAACCCGGGAACUGCGCCCGAUACUGGAAGGCUUGAAUCCGGGAGAGGGAUGCGGAAUUCCAGGUGUAGCGGUGAAAUGCGUAGAUAUCUGGAGGAACACCGGUGGCGAAGGCGGCAUCCUGGACCGGCAUUGACGCUGAGGCGCGAAAGCCAGGGGAGCAAACGGG